RNAcentral lists this ribosomal RNA (465 nucleotides) under uncultured bacterium. RNAcentral describes it as "partial 16S ribosomal RNA". It matches the Rfam family "Bacterial small subunit ribosomal RNA", at positions 338 to 795 of the family's 1533-position model. The record is from RNAcentral.
CCUACGGGAGGCUGCAGUAGGGAAUCUUCCACAAUGGACGAAAGUCUGAUGGAGCAACGCCGCGUGAGUGAAGAAGGGUUUCGGCUCGUAAAGCUCUGUUGGUAGUGAAGAAAGAUAGAGGUAGUAACUGGCAUUUAUUUGACGGUAAUUACUUAGAAAGUCACGGCUAACUACGUGCCAGCAGCCGCGGUAAUACGAUGGUGGCAAGCGUUGUCCGGAUGUAUUGGGCGUAAAGCUAGUGCAGGCGGUUCAAUAAGUCUGAUGUGAAAGCCUUCGGCUCAACCGGAGAAUUGCAUCAGAAACUGUUGAACUUUAGUGCAGAAGAGGAGAGUGGAACUCCUGGUGUAGCGGUGGAAUGCGUAGAUAUAUGGAAGAACACCAGUGGCGAAGGCGGCUCUCUGGUCUGCAACUGACGCUGAGGCUCGAAAGCAUGGGUAGCGAACAGGAUUAGAUACCCCAGUAGUC